Molecule: ribosomal RNA, 500 nt
Filed under: uncultured bacterium
Lineage: Bacteria
Description: partial 16S ribosomal RNA
Rfam family: Bacterial small subunit ribosomal RNA
Source: RNAcentral
AUUGAACGCUGGCGGAAUGCUUUACACAUGUAAGUCGAACGGCAGCACGGACUUCGGUCUGGUGGCGAGUGGCGAACGGGUGAGUAAUGUAUCGGAACGUGCCCAGUCGUGGGGGAUAACGUAGUGAAAAUUACGCUAAUACCGCAUACGAUCUAUGGAUGAAAGCGGGGGACCGCAAGACGUCGCGCGAUUGGAGCGGCCGAUAUCAGAUUAGGUAGUUGGGGGGGUAAAGGCCUACCAAGCCAACGAUCUGUAGCUGGUCUGAGAGGACGACCAGCCACACUGGGACUGAGACACGGUCCAGACUCCUACGGGAGGCAGCAGGGGGGAAUUUUGGACAAUGGGCGAAAGCCUGAUCCAGCCAUUCCGCGUGCAGGAUGAAGGCCCUCGGGUUGUAAACUGCUUUUGUACAGAACGAAAAGGUUUCUACUAAUACUAGGAGCUCAUGACGGUACUGUAAGAAUAAGCACCGGCUAACUACGUGCCAGCAGCCGCAGUAA